This 240-nucleotide unclassified non-coding RNA is filed under the name soil metagenome. Its description in RNAcentral is "partial contains 5.8S ribosomal RNA, internal transcribed spacer 2, and large subunit ribosomal RNA". The record is from RNAcentral.
AACCUAGCACACCUGCGGUGUGUACCUGCGGAGGGAUCAUUAUUGAAUUAAAUCUAGGGUUGGCAGUUGCUGGUCCCUCCAUUUAUUUGGGGGGGCAAAUUUUAUGUGCACGCCUUCUCUAUUUUUUUCAUCCACACACACCUGUGCACUUGUGAGAUGGAGAGGGGAGUGGGUUGAACCCGCCCCUUUCCAUCUAUACACUCACUACACAAACUCAUUUGUUUUAAACUGAAUGUAAUU